AGUGGUGCUGAAAAGAAUGCAGACGUAAAAGUGAACAACUGGUAGGCUCUUCUGUGGGACUCUGUGUACAGCUCAAGUUAAUUCUCCGUUGGAAGAGUGGCGAGGUUUUAACAAGUAAGGAAGUCAGCCGCUGGGAGCAGAAUCUCACCUCUGCAAAGCCUCGCGAGAGCUCACUUGCCUGACAAACCGAGGAAGGAAACCCUGUUUUCACACACAAGGCAGGGAUACACGCCAUAUUGCCAAACAGAAGUCACCAGCGCCGCAGCCUUCUGAAUGAAGAAAAGUGAAGUUCCUCAAGACACAAGGCUCCUUCCUCCUUCAGAGAGGAGGAAGUGCAGCCCGGAAACCAUAGCAACCUCUGCAAAAUGGUUCCUGUAAUGACACUCGCUCAAAAUGGCCAGGCUUCCAGGUUGCUAAGACUUGCUCAUAUGCUAAUGUGUUGGAAAAUGUCUGGAAUCUCGGGAAUAUGGCGAUCUCUUUCUGGUGCAGCAGUCGCCACAGGCAGUUUCUACAGAACAAAACCUACAGCAGGCACAGUGCCCUGACCAGAGAAAAUAAAAACAAACCGGGAGUCAGCAGAACACAGGACUUUUUCCAAGGGCUUGACUUGUAGUGUCAUGGUAAAUGUCUCAUUCAACACCAUCAUCAGUUUUACUGCUUUUAACAAAAUUGGUAAAAUCUCCAGGAUAUUCCUCCAAGGUGGAUUUGUAAAUUGUGAAGGCUUUUUCCGAAAAUCAAAUAUAUCACGAGGCAAGAACUGAUGUAGCCAGGUCUGUGACUAAUCAUUUCUCUCGGGGUAGUCAGUAUUUCCGGGGAUUGGGUGGAGAAAGUAAUCCGUUAAUAUUCCUUGAUUGGUAGAUUAUGAGUCAAAGUUAUAAUAGACAUGAUUUUGCUUAUAUAACUACAGUUUGUACAAUCUGUACUAUUAAAGGAGAAAAGUCUUGGAAAAAAUAAAAAAUACCACCACUG
Molecule: long non-coding RNA, 969 nt
Filed under: Fukomys damarensis (Damara mole-rat)
Lineage: Eukaryota; Metazoa; Chordata; Mammalia; Rodentia; Bathyergidae
Description: lncRNA (ENSFDAG00000029344.1)
Source: RNAcentral